This is a long non-coding RNA of Cryptotermes secundus, 733 nucleotides long. RefSeq lists it as uncharacterized. NCBI's taxonomy places the organism in Eukaryota, Metazoa, Arthropoda, Insecta, Blattodea, Kalotermitidae. The record is from RefSeq and is a predicted model, not a curated record. The transcript is spliced from 2 exons.
CCGAAACGUCGGCCAAAACAAAGAAUACACAGUGCCUAAACCCAGAAGACGACUUUCUUACACUAAUAUCUUGUCUCCUUCAUCUAAGUUUUGCUAGCUGAUUUUAAUUCUAAUAACCAGCAUGAACAUUUCAUGAUUGUAUAUGAAUAUACCCUUUGGAAUAUUUCCAUUUUAUCCUUUUUCCAGACGAUAACGACGUUGUGUUGCCACAACUGGAUAUAAGAAGCUUAAUAAUUCGUUUAUCAUAUUAUCUCAAGCCACAAAUAUUCUGAUGUAUUUUCAGAGAAUGAUGUAUAACAGGCAUUUUUCUCAUAUGCUUUACUGAUGUAUUUUCAACAGUCUCAACUGAAGUCAAUGGAAAAAGUUGAUUUACAGAAGAACUAAUUGUUCAAGGUUGAACUUCAUGAUAUCUGAGCGCUAUGAUAUUUGUGCUGAGAUUAUUUUCCUUCUCUACAAGAUGAAAAAUCUGAAGAACUAAAUUGAAUGAUAGUAUUUCUUUACCCAGAUCAUGCAAGUGUAAUCCAUGUUUAAUACACAAAUGUCUAUUUUAAUUUACUUCCAUCACACUGAGAUGUGGAAAUAGUUUGUUGACCUUUAGUAAUUUUCUAUUAAAAUUAGUAAUUUCAUUGAGUAAUAUUAGGACCUUUUGUGUAAUGCCUAUAAGGGACUGUUAAAAGAAUCACAUUCAUAUGAGUGACUCUUAAUGAAUUCAAUAAAAUCAUUAAAAACCAUA